AUGGGGGGCCCACCGCGGGGGUUGCCGGCGAGGGAGGGGGUCGCCGGAAGAGGAAGGGAACGGGACGGGACGGGACGGAACGGGUCUCUGGUCUCUGGCUGUGGGGGAGAGGCGGGGAGGGUGAUAUGGGGAAACCGCAGAGAAGGGAGACGAGAGAGCCCCACUUGUACCCGUCGCCCACGCUUUUCUCUAUCCCUCUCCCUUUAUUUUCGCUUUCCUUUUUUUGCGUCGGGUUGGAGGAGGAGAGGGAGAGGGAGAGGGAGGCGACGAGGUCAUGGGAGCGGCGUUGGCGUUGGCGUUGGCGUUGGAGUUGGUUCCACCAGAACUGACGCUAACGGAACCGCGUCCCCCGCGCGCUCUCUCUCCCCGUCCUGCCCCUCGGCCUCUCCACUCCUCGCCCAUUGUCUUUCUUUGUUUCUGGUGGGACUUUUCCUUCUCCUCUCGCCUGUGUGA
RNAcentral lists this ribosomal RNA (453 nucleotides) under Triticum aestivum (bread wheat). Its description in RNAcentral is "partial small subunit ribosomal RNA". The record is from RNAcentral. Lineage: Eukaryota; Viridiplantae; Streptophyta; Magnoliopsida; Poales; Poaceae.